Long non-coding RNA from Trifolium pratense (red clover), 1266 nucleotides. RefSeq lists it as uncharacterized. The record is from RefSeq and is a predicted model, not a curated record. Lineage: Eukaryota; Viridiplantae; Streptophyta; Magnoliopsida; Fabales; Fabaceae. The transcript has 2 exons.
AGUACGUGUUUUUUGCCAAUUCAGAAAACUUUGGAGCUAUAGUUAAAUUGAGUAUCCUUAAUUAAGUUUCCAUUGGUUCUUGCUUUUUUAAUUGUUUUUGCUGUUACGUACACAUGAAAAGUACUAGUAAAUCUUAAACCAUCUGAUUGAGCACAAGAACGAACAGUGUAUGGAGGUAAGGAAAGAUGAUUGUUAUCAAGUAGUUUUCCUUUUACUUUUUGAUACUUACAUCAGUUUAAUAUUUAAAUGUUCUUAUUAUGAAGGUCACUCCCAAAACACUGAGCAAUUAAUAUUGAUUGCAGUAGCAAGUCUGAUUUAACUAUUUAUGAACAUCUUUCUACUAAAUUUAACCACAAUAACUUUUAACAUUUUUUAAUUGAGAUUUGUACAAUAUUCACACUGAUGAUAUAAUGCUAUAUAGUUAAAUGACAGAACCUACCUUUGCUAUUAUUUCAACACAAUUUAUGGUGGCAGGGACAUGUUUGUAAAUGAUGAUAUUAAGUUUUAACAGUUCUUUGACAAAGCUAUUGGGAUUAAUGUUCAUUGAUCCCGGUUCCUUCCGGUGAAGGCAACUUCAGUUUUGUUUCUUGUCCAGGUUCUAAGCUUUUGUACACAAGGCAUGAAUUCUAUAGCUUGGAAUUUGACUUUAGUCUUUUAUUUGACAUGAUUUGGUUUCUUCUUUUGCAGUCAGACCUCUUCACCUUGGUAGAUGGAUCUGUUAUUCGCAAUAGAGUGAGGGCUAAUCCUGAAAACCCUUCUAUUGAAUUAGGGACUGAAAAAUCUAAGAUCUAUAUUACGGAUUACUGUGUUAUGUGAUAACUAACUAUAAUAUUAACUGUCUUAACCUCCUUCACAGAUUAGCAACUUCUUGAGUUCUUGUGCUGCUUCAAGUCAAUUCCUAGUAUUGUUGAGCUUGACAGUCUAAAAGUGGUUGGCGAUGUAUGGUUCGGAGUUGAGUCCAUGUCGUCCUCAAGGGAAAUGUCGAGUAUCAUAGCGAAAUCUGGUGUAAAGCUGAAAGUUCCUGAUGGAGCCGUAACUGUGAACAAGGUAUUUAACAGGACAUGGAUUUUAUUUUUCCGCAGGGAUGUUGUCAACCGACAUGCUUCUCACGCCACCUAGUGGCAUAAGGCUCGUUAUUAUUGUAGGGAUUUUUUUGUCACAGAAGUUGUUAAACCCAACAUGGUUGACCUGUGAGGAAGCUAAUGAGUUUUCAUGUAUCGGAUCAGAUGUAUGCAAUCAAAGAUAGUGUUGUGUUAUUUCUAUGUA